Molecule: ribosomal RNA, 497 nt
Filed under: uncultured bacterium
Lineage: Bacteria
Description: partial 16S ribosomal RNA
Rfam family: Bacterial small subunit ribosomal RNA
Source: RNAcentral
GAUGAACGCUGGCGGCGUGCCUAAUACAUGCCAGUCGAGCGAACAGACGAGGAGCUUGCUCCUCUGACGUUAGCGGCGGACGGGUGAGUAACACGUGGAUAACCUACCUAUAAGACUGGGAUAACUUCGGGAAACCGGAGCUAAUACCGGAUAAUAUAUUGAACCGCAUGGUUCAAUAGUGAAAGACGGUUUUGCUGUCACUUAUAGAUGGAUCCGCGCCGCAUUAGCUAGUUGGUAAGGUAACGGCUUACCAAGGCAACGAUGCGUAGCCGACCUGAGAGGGUGAUCGGCCACACUGGAACUGAGACACGGUCCAGACUCCUACGGGAGGAAGCAGUAGGGAAUCUUCCGCAAUGGGCGAAAGCCUGACGGAGCAACGCCGCGUGAGUGAUGAAGGUCUUCGGAUCGUAAAACUAUGUUAUUAGGGAAGAACAAAUGUGUAAGUAACUAUGCACGUCUUGACGGUACCUAAUCAGAAAGCCACGGCUAACUACGUG